UGGGGAAUAUUGGACAAUGGGCGCAAGCCUGAUCCAGCCAUGCCGCGUGAGUGAUGAAGGCCCUAGGGUUGUAAAGCUCUUUCACCGGUGAAGAUAAUGACGGUAACCGGAGAAGAAGCCCCGGCUAACUUCGUGCCAGCAGCCGCGGUAAUACGAAGGGGGCUAGCGUUGUUCGGAUUUACUGGGCGUAAAGCGCACGUAGGCGGACUAUUAAGUCAGGGGUGAAAUCCCGGGGCUCAACCCCGGAACUGCCUUGGAUACUGGUAGUCUUGAGUUCGAGAGAGGUGAGUAGAAUUCCGGGUGUAGAGGUGAAAUUCGUAGAUGUGCGGAGGAACACCAGGGGCGAGGGCGGCUCACUGGCUCGAUACUGACGGUGGGGUGCGAAAGCGUGGGGAGCAAACAGG
RNAcentral lists this ribosomal RNA (404 nucleotides) under Actinomycetes bacterium. RNAcentral's name for it is "Actinobacteria bacterium partial 16S ribosomal RNA". It matches the Rfam family "Bacterial small subunit ribosomal RNA", at positions 355 to 776 of the family's 1533-position model. The record is from RNAcentral. Lineage: Bacteria; Bacillati; Actinomycetota; Actinomycetes.